Molecule: non-coding RNA, 136 nt
Organism: Hordeum vulgare subsp. vulgare (domesticated barley)
Lineage: Eukaryota; Viridiplantae; Streptophyta; Magnoliopsida; Poales; Poaceae
Source: Rfam
AAUGUAGUCCCUCCAUCCCAAAAUUCUUGCCUUAAGUUUGUCUUGAAAUGGAUGUAUCUAAAUACUAAAACGUGACUAGAUACAUUCAUGUCGAGAUAAAUCUAAGACAAGAAUUUUGGGACGGAGGGAGUAGUUA